RNAcentral lists this ribosomal RNA (253 nucleotides) under uncultured bacterium. Its description in RNAcentral is "partial 16S ribosomal RNA". It matches the Rfam family "Bacterial small subunit ribosomal RNA", at positions 524 to 776 of the family's 1533-position model. The record is from RNAcentral.
UACGGGGGGGGCAAGCGUUGUUCGGAAUUACUGGGCGUAAAGGGCUCGUAGGCGGCCAACUAAGUCAUACGUGAAAUCCCUCGGCUUAACCGGGGAACUGCGUCUGAUACUGGAUGGCUUGAGUUCGGGAGAGGGAUGCGGAAUUCCAGGUGUAGCGGUGAAAUGCGUAGAUAUCUGGAGGAACACCGGUGGCGAAGGCGGUUACCUGGAGCUUUGCUGACGCUGAUGCGCGAAAGCGUGGGGAGCGAUCCGG